CCCUCUCUCUCAAAUCUCUCUCUCUCUCUGUGAAAUGUCUGCAACAACAGAACCAUCCAAAUCUGUCACACAUCACCGCCUACAUCUAGAUCCACCACACCAUCACACCACCUACAUCCAAAUCCACCACACCAUCACACCGCAUCCAUCUAGAUCCGUCGCACCACACCACCAUCUCCAUCCAAAUCGCCACACAACACCUCCGCCUCCAUCUAGAUCUACCACAACCACUGCCACCUCGCAUCAUCAACCGACGAUAAAGGCGUUGGAUCGAAGUUUAAACAAAUCUUCAAAGCGUAUCUCGUUUUCUUCUAUCCGAUAAAACGUCAGAUCUAUGAUUUAUACGGUGAAGAACGUUUGAAAUUCGGAGUUUAUGAUGAAUCUUUGUUGUGAGAUUUAGGUUUGAUCCGAACAAAUCUGAUGCGAGUUUUUGAUGAAUCUGGUGCAGAAUAAUGAAUCAAGUGCAGAAUAAGUAUUCUUCUAAUUUGAGGAUGAAUAUUGGAGGUGCAAAAUAAGAAUAAAAAGAAUAAGUUUUGUUCUAAUUUGAGGACGAAUAUUGGAGAAUAAGUUUUGUUCUAAUUUGAGGUGCCAAAUAUGAAGGUACUGCUCUGUGAUGAUUGAUGAUAUAUGCUACACAUAGGAUGGACUCGUGCCUUAGCGACUUUAAAACUUGAAAGAUAAUAGUUGUACUUAUUUUAUUGUAUUAAAACAAUGAAUUCAUUUAUUCAAUAAAACAAAAAUUAUUUAU
RNAcentral lists this long non-coding RNA (748 nucleotides) under Helianthus annuus (common sunflower). Lineage: Eukaryota; Viridiplantae; Streptophyta; Magnoliopsida; Asterales; Asteraceae. The record is from RNAcentral.